Molecule: ribosomal RNA, 569 nt
Filed under: Salvelinus leucomaenis (whitespotted char)
Lineage: Eukaryota; Metazoa; Chordata; Actinopteri; Salmoniformes; Salmonidae
Description: partial 16S ribosomal RNA
Rfam family: Bacterial large subunit ribosomal RNA
Source: RNAcentral
CGCUCUUGCAAAUCAAAGCAUAGAGGUCCCGCCUGCCCUGUGACUAUGGGUUUAACGGCCGCGGUAUUUUGACCGUGCGAAGGUAGCGCAAUCACUUGUCUUUUAAAUGAAGACCUGUAUGAAUGGCAUCACGAGGGCUUAGCUGUCUCCUCUCCCAAGUCAAUGAAAUUGAUCUGCCCGUGCAGAAGCGGACAUAAAUACAUAAGACGAGAAGACCCUAUGGAGCUUUAGACACCAGGCAGAUCACGUCAAGUAACCUUAAAUUAACAAGUAGAAACGCAGUGACCCCUAGCCCAUAUGUCUUUGGUUGGGGCGACCGCGGGGGAAAAUAAAGCCCCCAUGUGGACUGGGGGCACUGCCCCCACAGCCGAGAGCUACAGCUCUAAGCACCAGAAUUUCUGACCAAAAAUGAUCCGGCGAACGCCGAUCAACGGACCGAGUUACCCUAGGGAUAACAGCGCAAUCCUCUCCCAGAGUCCCUAUCGACGAGGGGGUUUACGACCUCGAUGUUGGAUCAGGACAUCCUAAUGGUGCAGCCGCUAUUAAGGGUUCGUUUGUUCAACGAUUAA